GAAUAUAACUAACUUCCUUCCUUCCUUCCUUUCUUCCUUCCUUCCAUCCUUCCUCCCUCCCUCCCUCCCUGCUUUCCCUUCCUCCCUGCCUUCCUUCUUCCUUCCUCUCUUUUUUCUUUUCUCCCUUCCUUCCUUCUUAAUAUGUUUUUGGCCUUUUCUUUAUAUAUGUGGCCUAUCAAUAUCAUGUGUUUGGAAAAGCAUAAACUUAAGGCAUCACCUUUACAGAAAAUAUCUUCCAUGGAAACAUCUAAAGGCAAAAAUCCUUCAAAUUCAAAUUUAUCCAAUCAUUUCUUCUGCUUACUACCAUCCUAAAUCAUUUUUCUUUAGUAAGAUCUAUUAGUGUGAAGCUAUUAAGCUAUUAAUGUAAGUAUCAUAUUAAUGUAUUAAGAUAUUAAGUGAGGAAGUAAAGUUGCAUUCAUAGGCCUUGAACUUUUCCACAUCUCGAUUUUUACCCAUCAUCUCUGCAUAUUUUCCUAAGGCAGCCUUCAAAUGGUGAUGUUUCCUGUCAUCCAGAGUUCAGAAGUGCCUUCUCUUCAACCUUUCUGUGGAAUUCUAAACCACGUGAUAAAGGAGCUGGUGGUGGGAAGUAAGGGAAGGAGGGGAUGAAGAGGAAUGGGCAGAAGUUUUUGGAGAGGAAUAACCCACUGAGAUUGCCAGGGAAGAUUCAUUUUGACAUUAUUUUCAUGUAUUCAAUGCAAUCAAAAAAGAAUCCACAGCUAACCAUGCCACAGAUCAGCCCUGGGGUUCAGAGGGAUCCUGACGGCUACUCCUCAAGAUCCUCUCUGUUGUGAUUCAUCCCCCCCAGGCCCUACAGUUUCUCCUUCCUGACUCUUACAUUUCUUUGGAUGGCAUCACUAUUUACCUGUCUCCUCCCAUAGUUAGUUGCCAAGCACUGUGGAUUCUACCCCUCAGGGUCCAGACACCCAUU
Molecule: non-coding RNA, 928 nt
Filed under: Pongo abelii (Sumatran orangutan)
Lineage: Eukaryota; Metazoa; Chordata; Mammalia; Primates; Hominidae
Source: RNAcentral